CCUGCUUAGGAGCAGCCUGUGAACUGAGGAGUGGUGUGUGUCCACCGCCAGGCACAGGGGAAGCAGAAGCACCUGAGGGCUGAGGAGGAAGCAGGGCCAGGGCAGAAGAGGUGCCCGGGUCCCCGUCCCAGCCCGCGGGGUGAAGCCGUGCAGAGCAGAGCACGGCUGGCGUCCACCGCAGGAGGCCCCGAGCCCUGCUCAGUUCUGGCUGAUGGUGGUGCUGGGAACUGAACCUGGGGCCUCGGAGCCUCAGGCAGGAGAGUUUUUUGCAGAACCGCUGUGCUGUCUCCGCAGGCCGACACACUUACUUCUCGGAAGUACUUGCUGGAUUGCCUGUAGGCUCCUGAAGCCACACACAAGCUCGCAGGUGUGGAGGGUCCCAGCUGUGACUGGGUGGCCCAGCUGAGCAGCACUUUGAACUCCCAUGAGAAGACUUCCCGUGAGGGGGAAAAUGAAGGCAGAUCUACAGUUGGAGUCUGGUUUUAAUCAGAAUGUAAUCUUAGGGGACUAUGUCAGGCUGAGAAUUUUUAAUCUGAUAUUUUUAAAGGAAAAAAAUUCCAUGUUCAAAAAAUGAUACAAACCAAUCCACCUUCAAGGAGUGAUGGGAAAAAGAAAUCUCUUGCAUCUGAGAG
This is a long non-coding RNA of Erinaceus europaeus (western European hedgehog), 632 nucleotides long. RefSeq lists it as uncharacterized. Lineage: Eukaryota; Metazoa; Chordata; Mammalia; Eulipotyphla; Erinaceidae. The record is from RefSeq and is a predicted model, not a curated record. The transcript is spliced from 3 exons.